RNAcentral lists this ribosomal RNA (526 nucleotides) under uncultured bacterium. RNAcentral's name for it is "bacterial SSU rRNA". It matches the Rfam family "Bacterial small subunit ribosomal RNA", at positions 397 to 918 of the family's 1533-position model. The record is from RNAcentral.
CCGCGUGAGUGAAGAAGGCCUUCGGGUUGUAAAGCUCUUCGGCCGGAAGAAUCGCAUGGGUUAAUACCCUGUGUGGAUGACGGUACCGGCAUAAGAAGCACCGGCUAACUACGUGCCAGCAGCCGCGGUAAUACGUAGGGUGCGAGCGUUAAUCGGAAUUACUGGGCGUAAAGCGUGCGCAGGCGGUUUGGUAAGACAGGCGUGAAAUCCCCGGGCUUAACCUGGGAACUGCGCUUGUGACUGCCUCACUAGAGUACGGCAGAGGGGGUGGAAUUCCACGUGUAGCAGUGAAAUGCGUAGAGAUGUGGAGGAACACCGAUGGCGAAGGCAGCCCCCUGGGCCGAUACUGACGCUCAUGCACGAAAGCGUGGGUAGCAAACAGGAUUAGAUACCCUGGUAGUCCACGCCCUAAACUAUGUCAACUAGGUGUUGGGUGGGUAAAACCAUUUAGUACCGUAGCUAACGCGUGAAGUUGACCGCCUGGGGAGUACGGCCGCAAGGUUAAAACUCAAAGGAAUUGACGGGG